UACGGAGGGUGCAAGCGUUAUCCGGAUUCACUGGGUUUAAAGGGUGCGUAGGUGGGAAUGUAAGUCAGUGGUGAAAUCUCCGUGCUUAACAUGGAACUGCCAUUGAUACUAUGUUUCUUGAAUUUUCUGGAGGUAAGCGGAAUAUGUCAUGUAGCGGUGAAAUGCUUAGAUAUGCAACAGAACACCAAUUGCGAAGGCAGGUAACUAAGCCAUAACUGACGCUGAGGCACGAAAAGCGUGGGGAGCAAACAGG
Molecule: ribosomal RNA, 253 nt
Filed under: uncultured bacterium
Lineage: Bacteria
Description: partial 16S ribosomal RNA
Rfam family: Bacterial small subunit ribosomal RNA
Source: RNAcentral